Molecule: transfer RNA, 77 nt
Filed under: Alteromonadaceae bacterium
Lineage: Bacteria; Pseudomonadati; Pseudomonadota; Gammaproteobacteria; Alteromonadales; Alteromonadaceae
Description: tRNA-Ile
Rfam family: tRNA
About the family: Transfer RNA (tRNA) molecules are approximately 80 nucleotides in length. Their secondary structure includes four short double-helical elements and three loops (D, anti-codon, and T loops). Further hydrogen bonds mediate the characteristic L-shaped molecular structure. tRNAs have two regions of fundamental functional importance: the anti-codon, which is responsible for specific mRNA codon recognition, and the 3' end, to which the tRNAs corresponding amino acid is attached (by aminoacyl-tRNA synthetases). tRNAs cope with the degeneracy of the genetic code in two manners: having more than one tRNA (with a specific anti-codon) for a particular amino acid; and 'wobble' base-pairing, i.e. permitting non-standard base-pairing at the 3rd anti-codon position.
Source: RNAcentral
GGGCCUCGAGCUCAGUUGGAUAGGGCAGAGGACUCAUAAUCCUUUGGUCGGUGGUUCGAGUCCACCUGGGCCCACCA